Non-coding RNA from Nitrospirae bacterium GWC2_57_13, 140 nucleotides. The record is from Rfam. Lineage: Bacteria; Pseudomonadati; Nitrospirota.
UUGCGGGUGCAAGUCCCGCCAUGGCAAAAAGCCAAAGCCAUGUAGCUUGGAUGGCAGGAGGUGAGGGAAACGUUGCCUUUUGAAGCCCAUCGACAAAGCCCUGUAUAGCGGGGUGAGCAAGUUUCCGGGUCGUAACGAAA